This 494-nucleotide ribosomal RNA is filed under the name uncultured bacterium. Its description in RNAcentral is "bacterial SSU rRNA". It matches the Rfam family "Bacterial small subunit ribosomal RNA", at positions 899 to 1397 of the family's 1533-position model. The record is from RNAcentral.
ACUCAAAGGAAUUGACGGGGACCCGCACAAGCGGUGGAUGAUGUGGUUUAAUUCGAUGCAACGCGAAAAACCUUACCCACCUUUGACAUGGUCGGAAUUUGCCAGAGAUGGCUUAGUGCUCGAAAGAGAACCGAUACACAGGUGCUGCAUGGCUGUCGUCAGCUCGUGUCGUGAGAUGUUGGGUUAAGUCCCGCAACGAGCGCAACCCUUACCAUUAGUUGCUACGCAAGGGCACUCUAAUGGGACUGCCGGUGACAAACCGGAGGAAGGUGGGGAUGACGUCAAGUCCUCAUGGCCCUUAUAGGUGGGGCUACACACGUCAUACAAUGGCUGGUACAAACGGUUGCCAACCCGCGAGGGGGAGCUAAUCCGAGAAAACCAGUCGUAGUCCGGAUCGUAGUCUGCAACUCGACUGCGUGAAGUCGGAAUCGCUAGUAAUCGUGGAUCAGAAUGUCACGGUGAAUACGUUCCCGGGUCUUGUACACACCGCCCGU